Molecule: long non-coding RNA, 780 nt
Filed under: Triticum aestivum (bread wheat)
Lineage: Eukaryota; Viridiplantae; Streptophyta; Magnoliopsida; Poales; Poaceae
Description: long non-coding RNA (TAES_LNC018066)
Source: RNAcentral
UUUUUUUUUGUGUGUGUGAACGCAUUGUAUGCUUUGUCAAGCCCCAUAAUACACUCCUCAUUUAUCACUCCAUACUUUGAUACUCUGCAAUUUUGUGCAUGUGUAGCUCUGCAUCACUGCAAUUGCAACAUCCUACAAACGGAGUGCCAUGAAAGGAAAAGGGGACAAUGCAGGAUACAGCUGCAAUUACUGUCCCCGGACCCAAACCAAGCACCUUGUUUCUCCUGCAAGCAACACAAAAUGAUUAAACCAGCACAGCAACUCCACCACAAUUGAAGAAAAGUGGCACUAGACACAUUUGGUCUGAAUCCUAGGUUAGGGAGGGACCGUGAGAUGCAGGAUUGCAGGUGCAGCACAUCAUCAACAAAGCAGAAAAGCAGUUAGUACUAAUCACACAGGGGCAGACAGACACAGCAGAAGGCAGACAGACAUACAGGUUGAAGAGAUGCAAAGCCAACCGUCCCCAAAGAAUUUCUUAGCUAAAGAUGGAGGCAACAACAGCGAGGUACAGAGAACAAAUCAUCAUGAAUGGCACCCACUACACACCGGCACUAGUACUACUGCUAAAUAGCAACAUCUAAUCGUAAUCGAAUUCCGACACUUAUGUACAUGUCUGCAACUGGUCUACUGCUUAGGUUCCAUCAUCCUGCUUCUUCCUGAUUUUGCUUUCCUGGAUCUUCCUCGGCCACUGUACAAGAGAUGAUUGUGGAAUGAACGUUGAACCAAGCAGGAUGCCCAGACGAGCGGAGCCUGGCUUGAUCGUUGUAUGGUUUCUGCCUC